GCAAGUGAUCCAGCUUGCUCUUAGUUGAUGGAAAGAUCCACGUUGAUUUCCACAAGCUGCAGACUUUGCUCCAUUCAAUUUGGAGUUUUGUAUCUUCUCAUACUCCAUCCCUGGGAUCCAGUAGAGCAUAUUGCAGAAGAAUGAACAUGUGGAUUACUAGGAUGUAUCACUACAUUACCUUUGUUGCCUCAGAUACCUCUGGUCCACUUUCCAAUACAAUCAAGAAAACUAGGUUACUUCUGAGUAUGCAGCCCUGACCCGAUGCCCGCCACACAUGUGGACACAUGCACGUGUGUGUGCAUUCAUGCACUCAAUCUGAGCAG
Molecule: long non-coding RNA, 323 nt
Filed under: Aquila chrysaetos chrysaetos
Lineage: Eukaryota; Metazoa; Chordata; Aves; Accipitriformes; Accipitridae
Description: lncRNA (ENSACCG00020003642.1)
Source: RNAcentral